AGUCACUGACAUUAGAUACCCGUGUAGUCCAGGGUGUAAACGCUGCAGACUUGGUGUUGGAAGUCCUUUGGGGGCAUUCAGUGCCGGAGAGAAGUUGUUAAGUCUGCUACUUGGGGAGUACGUCCGCAAGGAUGAAACUUAAAGGGAUUGGCGGGGGAGCACCGCAACGGGAGGAGCGUGCGGUUUAAUUGGAUUCAACACCGUAAAACUCACCAGGGAAGACUGUUACAUGAAAGCCGAGAUGAAGACUCUGCUAGAUUUUUCAG
Molecule: ribosomal RNA, 266 nt
Filed under: uncultured archaeon
Lineage: Archaea
Description: partial 16S ribosomal RNA
Rfam family: Archaeal small subunit ribosomal RNA
Source: RNAcentral